CCGGUAAAUUAGUGCCCCCCAGCCCGCGUUAAUAUUUAGGGCGCCAAGCUUUCUCGAAAUAUAUUGGGCGAAAAGAUCUUUAGGCAGCUGUCUCGUUCUUGUGAGAUAACCGGACUCUACACCUCGCGCGUGCGAUCGUGUGCGGGCGGUCUAGUGCGCUAUAGGAGAGACUAGAUUUCUUGGUGUAGCGGGGAGUGCGCAGAUCUCAGGAGGAACACCGAUGGCGAAGCACAUGUCUUUGCGCAGAUAUAGACGCUGAGGAGAGAAAGCGUGGAGAGAACACACGAUUAUAUACCCUUAUUGUACACCUUAAACGUUGAGCAAUAGGUGUGGUGACCAUUCCACGGUCUCCGUGGCACAUGUAACGCAAUAAUUCCCCCGCCUGGAGAAUACCCCACAAGGGUAAAUCUCAAAAGAAGUGGCGGAGGCCCGCACGAGGCGGAGCACCUGGAGAAUAAUUUGGCAACACGAGGAGCACCUUACACAAGGUGUCACACUCGCCAGAAACCCCCAGAGAUUGAGCUCUCGCAACAUUGGUGCACAGGUGGUGCAUGGUUGUCGUCAGCUCGUGUCGUGAGAUGUUGGGUUAAGUCCCGCAACGAGCGCAACCCUCGUUCCAUGUUGCCAGCGCGUUAUGCCGGGGACUCAUGGGAGACUGCCGGGGUCAACUCGGAGGAAGGUGGGGAUGACGUCAAAUCAUCAUGCCCCUUAUGUCUUGGGCUUCACGCAUGCUACAAUGGCCGGUACAGAGGGCUGCGAUACCGUAAGGUGGAGCGAAUCCCAAAAAGCCGGUCUCAGUUCGGAUUGGGGUCUGCAACUCGACCUCAUGAAGUCGGAGUCGCUAGUAAUCGCAGAUCAGCAACGAUGCGGUGAAUACGUUCCCGGGUCUUGUACACACCGCCCGUCAAGUCACGCAAAGUUCAGUAACCAACCCCGAAGGCCCGAUCGGCCGCAACCCCCUUGUGGGAGGGAGCUGUUUU
This 980-nucleotide ribosomal RNA is filed under the name Isoptericola variabilis. RNAcentral's name for it is "bacterial SSU rRNA". It matches the Rfam family "Bacterial small subunit ribosomal RNA", at positions 493 to 1472 of the family's 1533-position model. The record is from RNAcentral. Lineage: Bacteria; Bacillati; Actinomycetota; Actinomycetes; Micrococcales; Promicromonosporaceae.